RNAcentral lists this ribosomal RNA (465 nucleotides) under uncultured bacterium. RNAcentral describes it as "partial 16S ribosomal RNA". It matches the Rfam family "Bacterial small subunit ribosomal RNA", at positions 338 to 795 of the family's 1533-position model. The record is from RNAcentral.
CCUACGGGUGGCAGCAGUGGGGAAUAUUGCGCAAUGGGCGAAAGCCUGACGCAGCGACGCCGCGUGAGGGCUGAAGGUCUUCGGAUCGUAAACCUCUGUCAGCAGGGAAGCACGGUCACUGUGCUAAUCAGCAGUGCAUUGACGGUACCUGCAAAGGAAGCACCGGCUAACUCCGUGCCAGCAGCCGCGGUAAUACGGAGGGUUCGAGCGUUAAUCGGAAUUACUGGGCGUAAAGCGCUCGUAGGCGGUAUGUCAAGUCAAGGGUGAAAUCCCCGCGCUCAACGUGGGAACUGCCUUUGAAACUGGCAAACUGGAGUGUGUGAGAGGAUAGUGGAAUUCCAGGUGUAGGAGUGAAAUCCGUAGAUAUCUGGAGGAACAUCAGGGGCGAAGGCGACUAUCUGGCACAUAACUGACGCUGAGGAGCGAAAGCGUGGGUAGCAAACAGGAUUAGAUACCCCUGUAGUC